This 329-nucleotide unclassified non-coding RNA is filed under the name soil metagenome. RNAcentral's name for it is "partial contains 5.8S ribosomal RNA, internal transcribed spacer 2, and large subunit ribosomal RNA". The stretch from base 1 to 120 matches the Rfam family "5.8S ribosomal RNA", at positions 35 to 154 of the family's 154-position model. The record is from RNAcentral.
GAUGAAGAACGCAGCGAAAUGCGAUAAGUAAUGUGAAUUGCAGAAUUCAGUCAAUCAUCGAAUCUUUGAACGCACAUUGCGCCCCCUGGUAUUCCGGGGGGCAUGCCUGUCCGAGCGUCAUUACAACCCUCAAGCUCAGCUUGGUGUUGGGCCCCGCCGCCCCGGCGGGCCCUAAAGUCAGUGGCGGUGCCGUCCGGCUCCGAGCGUAGUAAUUCUUCUCGCUCUGGAGGUCCGGUCGUGUGCUCGCCAGCAACCCCCAAUUUUUUUCAGGUUGACCUCGGAUCAGGUAGGGAUACCCGCUGAACUUAAGCAUAUCAAUAAGCGGAGGA